UGAGGAAUAUUGGUCAAUGGGCGAGAGCCUGAACCAGCCAAGUAGCGUGAAGGAUGACUGCCCUAUGGGUUGUAAACUUCUUUUAUAAAGGAAUAAAGUCGGGUAUGGAUACCCGUUUGCAUGUACUUUAUGAAUAAGGAUCGGCUAACUCCGUGCCAGCAGCCGCGGUAAUACGGAGGAUCCGAGCGUUAUCCGGAUUUAUUGGGUUUAAAGGGAGCGUAGAUGGAUGUUUAAGUCAGUUGUGAAAGUUUGCGGCUCAACCGUAAAAUUGCAGUUGAUACUGGAUAUCUUGAGUGCAGUUGAGGCAGGCGGAAUUCGUGGUGUAGCGGUGAAAUGCUUAGAUAUCACGAAGAACUCCGAUUGCGAAGGCAGCCUGCUAAGCUGCAACUGACAUUGAGGCUCGAAAGUGUGGGUAUCAAACAGGAUUAGAUACCCUGGUAGUCCACACGGUAAACGAUGAAUACUCGCUGUUUGCGAUAUACUGCAAGCGGCCAAGCGAAAGCGUUAAGUAUUCCACCUGGGGAGUACGCCGGCAACGGUGAAACUCAAAGGAAUUGACGGGGGCCCGCACAAGCGGAGGAACAUGUGGUUUAAUUCGAUGAUACGCGAGGAACCUUACCCGGGCUUAAAUUGCAGAUGAAUUACGGUGAAAGCCGUAAGCCGCAAGGCAUCUGUGAAGGUGCUGCAUGGUUGUCGUCAGCUCGUGUCGUGAGGUGUCGGCUUAAGUGCCAUAACGAGCGCAACCCUUGUUGUCAGUUACUAACAGGUUCCGCUGAGGACUCUGACAAGACUGCCAUCGUAAGAUGUGAGGAAGGUGGGGAUGACGUCAAAUCAGCACGGCCCUUACGUCCGGGGCUACACACGUGUUACAAUGGGGGGUACAGAGGGCCGCUACCACGCGAGUGGAUGCCAAUCCCCAAAACCUCUCUCAGUUCGGACUGGAGUCUGCAACCCGACUCCACGAAGCUGGAUUCGCUAGUAAUCGCGCAUCAGCCACGGCGCGGUGAAUACGUUCCC
RNAcentral lists this ribosomal RNA (1017 nucleotides) under uncultured bacterium. RNAcentral's name for it is "bacterial SSU rRNA". It matches the Rfam family "Bacterial small subunit ribosomal RNA", at positions 355 to 1375 of the family's 1533-position model. The record is from RNAcentral.